Leopardus geoffroyi (Geoffroy's cat) is the source of this 4435-nucleotide long non-coding RNA. RefSeq lists it as uncharacterized. The transcript is spliced from 2 exons. The record is from RefSeq and is a predicted model, not a curated record. NCBI's taxonomy places the organism in Eukaryota, Metazoa, Chordata, Mammalia, Carnivora, Felidae.
AGGGGCAUAGAGAGGAAGGGAGAAAGAAAAUCCCAAGGAGGCUCUGCACUAUUAGAGGGGCUCUGCCCCCAUGAGAUGUGGGCUCUGCCCCCAUGAGAUGUGGGGCUCAAUCUCAUGAACUGUGAUAUCAUGAUCUGAGCUGAAAUCCAGAGUCCAAUGCUUAACCAACUGAGCCAUCCAGGUGCCCCUACCUAUUUCUUUCUAAUGUAUGUAUACUUUAGGUUAUAUUGUAGUAAACUAAAAAUAAUUCAAAUUUGAUUGUUUUAGGUACUUAGAGAGGAUAAUAGAUGUCCCCCUCAAAACAAAAUUAGAAAUGAUGGUUAAAUUGAAUAUUAAAACUCAAUGGAUCAAAAUAUCAAUGAUAUAUAAAACUCUAAGACUAGAAAGACCUAUUUAAAUACAUAACCAUAUCCAAAGAAAGAAGUUGUGAUCAGAAAAAGACUGAUUAGCUAUAGGAGCAGAAUCACAGAAGGAAAUACUGAUAUAAGUAGGGGGAAUUUUAGCCUACAGAACAAUUUCAACAAUUUCAAUAAUUUUCAAUAAUUUUUAUUGAGUACCUACUAGACAUCAUUUUGGAUCUGAAGACACCAUAGUGAACAGGGAAGCUAAAGCCCAUCUCCCAGACCUUACAUUCUAGAUGGAAGGGACAAACAAUAAAGAAAGAAAGGAGAAAUUCCAAUUGUUAAAAAGUUCCAUUAAGAAGACAAACCAGAGAAUAAUGUUAUGAUAAAGCAUAGUGUGGGUAGGCAGGGGAGGGAUAUUUAAAUUGGUUUGGUAUAGGUUUGGAUGAAUAUACAAAAGAUAGUAGUGGCUUAAAUGAGAUGAAGUUUCUUUUUCUCCCACUUAAAAGAGGCCUGCAAGUACACAACCCUGGGUUAUUUGAGAAAUUCAUCAGAGACUCAGGCUUUCCAGAUCUCUGCUGUACCAUCCUUAGUAAAUGCCCUUUUUCCCCAUGACCCAAAAUGACUGCUAGAGCCCAGUCACUGUAUUUGAUAUUCCAGGGAACAAGAUGGAAAGGGGGAGAAAGAAGGACAUAUCUUUUUCCUUUUAGGUACCGUUUUCAAAGCACCACAUUACACUUUGUCUUACAUUUCAUUGGCCAGAACUUAAAGUACAGCAUCCAGCUGUAAGAGAGGCUGGGUAAUAGAGCCCUUUGGCUGUGUGGCAAUGUGCCUAACAAGGGGAGAAAGGGAGAGAAGAUAUUGGAAAUCAAAGAUCUUUCUUGCUGAAAGCGGUCUGGAAAGGCCUCUCUGAGGAGCUAACAUGGCCUGAAGCCUCAAUGAUGAGAAGGAGACAGCCAUGAAAAGAUGUGGAGGUAGAACAUUUCAAUCAGAGAAAAGGACAAGAGCAAAAUCCCCAAAGUGAGAAUGAACUCUGCAUAUCUCUGGAAUCAAAAGAAAGCUAGGGCACUGAAAAAACCGAGGGAAAGGAUGCUACAACAUGAAGUCAGGAGAUUAGCAUGUUAGACCUUAUGAUGGUCACAGUGAUGAAUUCAAAUUGGGGUAUUUUCAGUCCCCUUAAAAGGGUCAUCCUCAUUGUGAUAAGGAUGAAUUUGAGACCAUCAAACAUGUGAUUAGCCCAAGACAUGUGAUUUAUCUACGCUCCAUUGUGGUGCCUACAGGCCUGCUGAGCAGUGUUCUCAUUUUACAUACUCCAUCAGUAAAGUGGCUUCUGGUUCUUGAGUCCCACUCUCCUCCCCUGACUUCCUUGGCAACUUUUCUCAGUUGUUGCAUUGGAAGGCUUGGGCUUUAAGAAGACUGUGGAAGCAUGUCAUGAACAGAAAUACAAUUCAAGGUAGUUCAAUCCUGAAUUCCCUCAAAAUAAACAAUCGGCCAAGUAAGAUAAGAUUUCACUCUCAGCAUCCAAGAAAAAUACUCAGAAAAGACUCUCUUAACCUUUGUUUGCAAUAAAAUAAACAGCUCAACAGUUUCCCUUCUGUUUCUCCCACAUUUCAUAUUGGGGUUUGUGGGGAGUGUUCACAUCUGCAGAGAGAAGAAAGGGAGCAGCUGGAGAGGCUGUCUCAUCUUCCAGCAUUUGUUCUCUAUAAGCUUUGACAAUUGGAGUCGCAGAACUUUAAGAAAGUUUAGCUGUUUAAAGAUGGAUCUAGAUUCCCAAAAGAUCAGUAGAGUUGUUAAUAAAAUAAUGCCCUAUAAGGCGAGUAUCUUAGAGGUCUUUCAUUGUCUCCACAAAUGUCACUCACUCACACACUCAAAUAUACAUACACACACACACACAUACACACAUACUUGUAUACAUUUAAAUACAUAUACAAUAACUAAACCAGGCCAAUUAAUUUGCAUAUGACAUAUUUUUAAUGCAUUUGUAGAACCUAGCUGGGCAUUCUAGAGAACAAGUUAAAGUCAAGGAUUAGUCAAACAAACAAAUAGAAUUUAAAAAAAACAUACAAGGAAAAUGAGGUCACACAGAGAACCAUGAAACAAAAAAAGAAGGUGAUGCAAUAGGAACAGUCAAACUUCAAUUAAAUGAAUGAAAAUUACAUGAUUAUUAUUCAUACGCUCUACUAUUGAACAUUUACUAUAGUCUAGGCAAUGUGCUAAACACUUAAAUUACCUUAUCUCAUUUAAAAUAAUAAUGUCAAGAGACAGGUACUGUUAUUACACCUAUUUAUAGUUAAGGAAACUGAGUGCAGAGACAUUAAAUAUUUUGCCAAGUCUGAGAACUAGUAAGUGAUGUGGCUGGACUCAAACCAGAUCUGUCUGAGUCUUAGGCUUCUCAUGCUUAUGUGAUACUCAUAUGCCAUAGGGGUUAGGAAGAAGGGAGGAAAAUGUAAAAUUUAGCUACAUUAAUAUUAAAAUUUUAUAAUAUUUCUACUGGAUUAUAUUCCUAUCACAGCUCACCUGAAGUAUCAUGUCAAAUUUAGGACCAAAACUUAAAGACACAGACUUGAAGAGUUAGGAGGUAUUGGCUCCCACUACUUCUAGCUAUGUGACCUAUAAGAAUCUCAAGUUCUCCAUGGCAAAGUGAGAAAAAUAUCUACUUUACAGAGUUGAUGUGAAGACUGAAGAUAAUGUGUAUGAGGGGAAAAAUACAGUGUCUGGCAUACAGCAAACAGAAAAGGCACUAAAAAUAUGGCAGCCAAUAUAUUUAUGACUCUUAUUCUGAGAGGAUGACGACUAGGGUAUUGAUCAUGCUUUCUGAACAUUAGAAUGAGAUGUGAAUUCACACUUUCUAAGGGAGUGGUUUCAUAACUGCUUUGCAUUCUGCUACAAAUUACAAUUCAUACCAAGUUUAAGGUUGAGCUCUUCUGAGGCAAACAAGAUAAAUCUUUUAAAUCUAGUAAUUUCACACUCCCCAGAGAACUAAGAGGGACUCUCUCCAGUCUCUUGUCAAAAUUAUCACUGAAAAAACAGUCAGUGGGAAAGGAGUCCCAGUGGCUGCUGAUAUGUUGCCAAGUCCAACACCCGUAUCUCUUCAAAGGUCUAGCCCAUAAAGAAAUAUCACUUUGUCUUGACUGACAGCAUUUAUCUUGGAUUUCAAAGUAUCAAAGCACUGUUGGUGCCCAAGAUGUUUUGUUAAAUGAUACUAAUGUGUUUAAUGAUCUACAUUUGAAAGGCUGUAUUUCUGAAGCUGAUAAACUCCCCCAAACCCUACUAGUGAAGACCAUUUUCAGUAUAUAAAUGCCAUCUGCAUUCAAAAAACACCCAUUAUUCACAUCCUGCAGAAGCAUUCAUAGCCUAAAGCCCACUCACAGAGGAUAGGGGGUGGAGGCCCUCCUGUAGAUGGAGACAACUAAGAAGUCCUUAGAAACACAGGAAAACUACCAUCCAGCUCAUCCUUACCUCUAGAGCCUAAAUGAGUUCUGGGGCAGAAAAACAGAACUGUAAAAUAGAAGCCAGUCUUCCUCCUUCUCUUUCUACUGUCACCAUAGAAACCAGUAUGUUUCUGUGCACAGUUUUUCCACGGGACUAUCCUUGCCUCAGAUUCUACCAGCCAAAAGUCCCAGACACCAAUUCUUCCAUGAAAUCUGCUUCUUUUCUACUAAGAUCAUAUCUAUCAGACCUAAAAUCUGGUCUGUUGAAUCAGCAAAGUAUUUCCAAAGAAGUGAGACUGGUAUCAUGAGUGGUUAAGAGAAGUCACUAAAUAGCAUUGAAUCACAGGGGUCUUUGCAGAUUGAAUUAAAGAACAAAGAUGAGAUCCUCUUGGAGUAUCUGUGAGGGCCUUAACACCAAUGUCAAGUGUCCUUAUAAGAGAUACACAGAGAACAGAUAGAAAAGAAGGAGGCAAUGUGACCAGAGGCAGAGAUUGAAGUGAUGGAGCCACAAGCCAAGCAAUGUCUGGAACUACCAGAAGCUCGAAGAGGCAAGGAACAGAGACUCCUCAAGAGCCUUCAAAGAAGCAGGCCCUUGACAACACCUUGAUUUUGAACUUUUAGGCUCCAGAACCAUGAGGAAAUAAAUUGCUAUUGUUUAUGCCA